Molecule: long non-coding RNA, 528 nt
Filed under: Gallus gallus (chicken)
Lineage: Eukaryota; Metazoa; Chordata; Aves; Galliformes; Phasianidae
Source: RNAcentral
CCUUGGGAGAAGCGGAUUUUUUGCUGAGGGUGGGGGGAGCCAUGGGGUGCCCAUCGGGUUUGCCCUUCUGCUUCAUCAGUUCGUAGAGCAAAUCGAUGGGGGCCCCGCUGCUCUCCGACUCGGCCACGCCGAGCUGCCGCAGGUGGGAGCGCGCGUGGCUGGAGAGCCCUUUGCGGGUUUCGAAGCAGGCGCCGCACACCUCGCACGUCGUCAGGUUCUGGGUUUUGGGGUCGUGUGGAUCCGCUUUGCCGCCGGGCGGCUCGGCGCACAGCUUGGUCCCUAUGCGGGCGGGCUGCUCCGACUGCCCCGGGGCUGAGCUCUUCUUGGGCAGCGGUGGCGGUGGUGGAGGCGGGGGGGAACCCACCUCCAUGGCCACCACCUCCUCCUCCUCCGGGGCCAGAACGUCUCUGUAGGACUGCAAGGACUCAUCUCCCCAAGAUGGAGGGAAUGGGGACAGAGGAGAGCGUGGAAUGCUGCACUCGGAGAUGGGGGUCAUGCUCUUGCGGGGCACGAAGCCGUGCGGCUCUC